Molecule: ribosomal RNA, 253 nt
Filed under: uncultured bacterium
Lineage: Bacteria
Description: partial 16S ribosomal RNA
Rfam family: Bacterial small subunit ribosomal RNA
Source: RNAcentral
GACGAACCGUGCGAACGUUAUUCGGAAUCACUGGGCUUAAAGCGCGUGUAGGCGGGACGCACGUCGGUAGCUGAAAUCCCCCGGCUCAACCGGGGAACGGGCGCCGAUACGACCGCCCUCGAGGGACGUAGGGGGACCUGGAACUUCCGGUGGAGCGGUGAAAUGCGUAGAGAUGUGGAGGAACACCGAUGGCGAAGGCAGCCCCCUGGGUCAAGAUUGACGCUCAUGCACGAAAGCGUGGGGAGCAAACAGG